This 565-nucleotide long non-coding RNA is filed under the name Oryctolagus cuniculus (rabbit). Its description in RNAcentral is "lncRNA (ENSOCUG00000032371.1)". Lineage: Eukaryota; Metazoa; Chordata; Mammalia; Lagomorpha; Leporidae. The record is from RNAcentral.
UCCGGGAUGAGCCGCUUCUCCGCCACCAUGUCUUCAAAUUCAUCCGCGUUAAACUUGGUAAAGCCCCACUUCUUUGAGAUGUGGAUCUGAACUCUGGCUACUGUGCCUUGGGGCUUUCCAAAAGCACCCCGCAUACCUGUCUGCAGCCUGUCAGCACCAGCACAGGACAACAUCUUGUUUGAUUCGGAUGACAUGGAAGGGGUGGAGCCGCACUCGGAUAUGAAAGCCAUCUUUGCCACAGCUUUUUACCAUGUAUUUGUUGGCACAAAUACGGGCAGCCUCCAGGGCUUUGGAAGAGAGCUGCUCUGGAAACUCAUCCACUUUUGCCUUCUUCCGGCCCAGAUCAAAGAUACGGAUCUUGGCAUCAGGGACACCUCGGCAGAAGCGAGACUUAGGGUACGGCUUGUUCUUACAAUACCGGUAACACCGGGCGGGGCGGCGGCCCAUGGCGACACCAGGGUCUUCGGUGGCGUGCCGAAGGAAAAAGAGCAGAAUGGAAUAAAUAUUUACAAACCACAUAUUUGACAAAAGUCUAUCAUCUAGAAUAAAGAACUCAUAAAAUACA